Molecule: ribosomal RNA, 253 nt
Filed under: uncultured bacterium
Lineage: Bacteria
Description: partial 16S ribosomal RNA
Rfam family: Bacterial small subunit ribosomal RNA
Source: RNAcentral
GACGUAGGGCGCGAGCGUUAUCCGGAUUCACUGGGUUUAAAGGGUGCGUAGGUGGGCAGGUAAGUCAGUGGUGAAAUCUCCGGGCUUAACUCGGAAACUGCCAUUGAUACUAUCUGUCUUGAAUACCGUGGAGGUUAGCGGAAUAUGUCAUGUAGCGGUGAAAUGCUUAGAUAUGACAUAGAACACCAAUUGCGAAGGCAGCUGGCUACACGAAUAUUGACACUGAUGCACGAAAGCGUGGGGAUCAAACAGG